CCCUUAGAUGUUCUGGGCCGCACGCGCGCUACACUGAUGCAUUCAACGAGCCUAUCCUUGACCGACAGGUCCGGGUAAUCUUUGAAUCUGCAUCGUGACGGGGAUAGAUUAUUGCAAUUAUUAAUCUUCAACGAGGAAUGCCUAGUAGGCGCAAGUCAUCAGCUUGCGUCGAUUACGUCCCUGCCCUUUGUACACACCGCCCGUCGCUCCUACCGAUUGGGUGUGCUGGUGAAAUAUUCGGAUCGGCCGUUUGUCGCGGUUUCCGCGUCAUGUGGCUGAGAAGUUCAUUAAACCCUCCCACCUAGAGGAAGGAGAAGUCGUAACA
RNAcentral lists this ribosomal RNA (325 nucleotides) under uncultured eukaryote. RNAcentral describes it as "partial 18S ribosomal RNA". It matches the Rfam family "Eukaryotic small subunit ribosomal RNA", at positions 1470 to 1796 of the family's 1831-position model. The record is from RNAcentral.